GUUGGAGUUGGACACACACAACUUCAUCAUCAACAGCAAGGACACCACCCCCUCCCUUCUCCGGGGAAGCUUUCCUUUCCUCCACGAUCCGAUGUUGACGCUGCAGUCACAAGACGCGGCCUUCAUCCAUGAUCCUCCUUCCCGCGCGGUCUAUGGACAUGCUUGCCGCGGCGUCAAUGGAGCUCUUCAAGAGGUGCUUCAAAAACUCUAGUUCGAAGAGACCUCGUGGAGUUGGGGAAAAGUUACCCCCUGCUGUCACCCAUUUAUUUCAGGUCUUCACGCGAUUCCCGACUACGAAGGCGUCGGUGGCGCCUUUGUCAAUCUCAAGAUGAUGUUUUUUUUUGGAAAAGGGUCUCAAGAUGAUGUGACGGGCCAGUCUUUCAGAGAUGCUCAGAGAUAAGAUGUGCGUGCGCAUAUUGAUAGCGUUGAGUGUAUGUGCGUGCAUCUGUGUUUGUACUGUGUUUAGAAAAAGCAAAGUAGAGAUUCAUGUUGAGAAAUGACGAAAUAUACUCUUUCUCCGUU
Non-coding RNA from Triticum urartu, 522 nucleotides. Lineage: Eukaryota; Viridiplantae; Streptophyta; Magnoliopsida; Poales; Poaceae. The record is from RefSeq and is a predicted model, not a curated record.